RNAcentral lists this ribosomal RNA (997 nucleotides) under human oral metagenome. Its description in RNAcentral is "bacterial LSU rRNA". It matches the Rfam family "Bacterial large subunit ribosomal RNA", at positions 1934 to 2925 of the family's 2925-position model. The record is from RNAcentral.
CCGUAACUAUAACGGUCCUAAGGUAGCGAAAUUCCUUGUCGGGUAAGUUCCGACCCGCACGAAUGGCGUAACGAUGGCCACACUGUCUCCUCCUGAGACUCAGCGAAGUUGAAGUGGUUGUGAAGAUGCAAUCUACCCGCUGCUAGACGGAAAGACCCCGUGAACCUUUACUGUAGCUUUGCAUUGGACUUUGAAGUCACUUGUGUAGGAUAGGUGGGAGGCUUUGAAGCAGAGACGCCAGUCUCUGUGGAGCCGUCCUUGAAAUACCACCCUGGUGUCUUUGAGGUUCUAACCCAGACCCGUAAUCCGGGUCGGGGACCGUGCAUGGUAGGCAGUUUGACUGGGGCGGUCUCCUCCCAAAGAGUAACGGAGGAGUUCGAAGGUUACCUAGGUCCGGUCGGAAAUCGGACUGAUAGUGCAAUGGCAAAAGGUAGCUUAACUGCGAGACCGACAAGUCGAGCAGGUGCGAAAGCAGGACAUAGUGAUCCGGUGGUUCUGUAUGGAAGGGCCAUCGCUCAACGGAUAAAAGGUACUCCGGGGAUAACAGGCUGAUUCCGCCCAAGAGUUCAUAUCGACGGCGGAGUUUGGCACCUCGAUGUCGGCUCAUCACAUCCUGGGGCUGUAGUCGGUCCCAAGGGUAUGGCUGUUCGCCAUUUAAAGUGGUACGUGAGCUGGGUUUAAAACGUCGUGAGACAGUUUGGUCCCUAUCUGCAGUGGGCGUUGGAAGUUUGACGGGGGCUGCUCCUAGUACGAGAGGACCGGAGUGGACGAACCUCUGGUGUACCGGUUGUAACGCCAGUUGCAUAGCCGGGUAGCUAAGUUCGGAAGAGAUAAGCGCUGAAAGCAUCUAAGCGCGAAACUCGCCUGAAGAUGAGACUUCCCUUGUGGUUUAACCACACUAAAGAGUCGUUCGAGACCAGGACGUUGAUAGGUGGGGUGUGGAAGCGCGGUAACGCGUGAAGCUAACCCAUACUAAUUGCUCGUGAGGCUUGACUCU